Humulus lupulus (European hop) is the source of this 210-nucleotide long non-coding RNA. RefSeq lists it as uncharacterized. NCBI's taxonomy places the organism in Eukaryota, Viridiplantae, Streptophyta, Magnoliopsida, Rosales, Cannabaceae. The transcript has 3 exons. The record is from RefSeq and is a predicted model, not a curated record.
GUGUUUUAUUGAAGCUGAGAAAAGAAGAGAGAUGGCCAAGAACUCGCUAGAGAGGUAUACUCAUUAUUACGAAAGAUGGGCAACUAACCAAUCGUCUAGGCAAAAAGCACUUGCAGACUUACAGCAAAUGCAGAGCGUGCAUCUUGAGAAGCUGAGUGACAUACAGUGCCAACCUGAGUCAUAGCUAAAGUUCAUAACAGAGGUCUGGCU